ACAGCAGUCGCCGCGGGAAUACAGAGGGUGCGAGCGUUAAUCGGAUUUACUGGGCGUAAAGCGUGCGUAGGCGGUUAUAUAAGACAGAUGUGAAAUCCCCGGGCUCAACCUGGGAACUGCAUUUGUGACUGUAUAGCUAGAGUACGGCAGAGGGGGAUGGAAUUCCGCGUGUAGCAGUGAAAUGCGUAGAUAUGCGGAGGAACACCGAUGGCGAAGGCAAUCCCCUGGGCCUGUACUGACGCUCAUGCACGAAAGCGUGGGGAGCAAACAGGAUUAGAUACCCCAGUAGUCCCUGUCUCUUAUAC
RNAcentral lists this ribosomal RNA (305 nucleotides) under uncultured bacterium. RNAcentral describes it as "partial 16S ribosomal RNA". It matches the Rfam family "Bacterial small subunit ribosomal RNA", at positions 508 to 807 of the family's 1533-position model. The record is from RNAcentral.